UAUUUUAUAAAAAACUAUUUAAAUUAUUUUAAUUGUAAAAAAACAAUUUUAAAAAAGAAAGACGAUAAGACCCUAUCGAACUUUACUUUAGUUUAACUGGGGCAGUUAAUUAAUUAUUAUUUUAAUUUAAAUAAAAAUUUAAUUUGACCUAAUAUUAUUAAUAAAAUAACUAAGUUACCGUAGGGAUAACAGCGUAAUAAAAUUUUUAAGAUCUUAUUUAAAAUAAAGAUUGCGACCUCGAUGUUGAUUUAAUAUCCUAAUUUACGCAAUAGUUAAUUAAGGAAGUCUGUUCGACUUUUAAAAAAUUACAUGAUUUGAGUUCAGACCGGUGUAAACCAGG
This 340-nucleotide ribosomal RNA is filed under the name Pardosa astrigera. RNAcentral describes it as "partial 16S ribosomal RNA". The stretch from base 61 to 340 matches the Rfam family "Bacterial large subunit ribosomal RNA", at positions 2079 to 2630 of the family's 2925-position model. The record is from RNAcentral. Lineage: Eukaryota; Metazoa; Arthropoda; Arachnida; Araneae; Lycosidae.